AAAUCCGAUGGUGGAAUCCACUUCUGUAUACCCACCACCGCGACCGCCGCAAGGUCCUACUCGGCCAUAUCCACCUCCUCCGACCUAUGCUUGUGGUGGCAGUGGACCUACUCCACCACCACCCACAGCGGGAUAUCCUCCAUCAACGGUGGGAUAUCCACCAGCACCGGCAGGAUAUCCACCAUCAUCGGGUGGAUAUCCACCAGCACCGGCGGGAUAUCCACCGGCGACGGCAUAUCCUCCACCACCCCAAUAUGGAUAUCCGCCACCACCCCAAUAUGGAUAUCCGCCACAUCAAGGUGCAUACGGGUAUGGGUAUCCACAAGUACAGCGGCCGCCAAAGAAGAACAAUA
RNAcentral lists this long non-coding RNA (353 nucleotides) under Capsicum annuum. RNAcentral's name for it is "long non-coding RNA (CANN_LNC001750)". The record is from RNAcentral. Lineage: Eukaryota; Viridiplantae; Streptophyta; Magnoliopsida; Solanales; Solanaceae.